This 497-nucleotide ribosomal RNA is filed under the name uncultured bacterium. Its description in RNAcentral is "partial 16S ribosomal RNA". It matches the Rfam family "Bacterial small subunit ribosomal RNA", at positions 28 to 507 of the family's 1533-position model. The record is from RNAcentral.
GAUGAACGCUGGCAGCGUGCCUAAUACAUGCAAGUCGAGCGAACAGACGAGGAGCUUGCUCCUCUGACGUUAGCGGCGGACGGGUGAGUAACACGUGGAUAACCUACCUAUAAGACUGGGAUAACUUCGGGAAACCGGAGCUAAUACCGGAUAAUAUAUUGAACCGCAUGGUUCAAUAGUGAAAGACGGUUUUGCUGUCACUUAUAGAUGGAUCCGCGCCGCAUUAGCUAUUUGGUAAGGUAACGGCUUACCAAGGCAACGAUGCGUAGCCGACCUGAGAGGGUGAUCGGCCACACUGGAACUGAGACACGGUCCAGACUCCUACGGGAGGCAGCAGUAGGGAAUCUUCCGCAAUGGGCGAAAGCCUGACGGAGCAACGCCGCGUGAGUGAUGAAGGUCUUCGGAUCGUAAAACUCUGUUAUUAGGGAAGAACAAAUGUGUAAGUAACUAUGCACGUCUUGACGGUACCUAAUCAGAAAGCCACGGCUAACUACGUG